Non-coding RNA from Biomphalaria pfeifferi, 527 nucleotides. NCBI's taxonomy places the organism in Eukaryota, Metazoa, Mollusca, Gastropoda, Planorbidae. The record is from the annotation of a GenBank genome assembly.
UCUACAGAUUGUAUUAUAUUUAAUUGAUGAGAGUAAAAUAAAUAUCUAGCCACAUACAGCCCAAACUUUCUGUCAACUUUCAAAGCAAACCACAAUAAGAAAUGAAGGAGCUAGACAAAAAAUAGACAAAGAUAUAAAUACAUGUAUGUACACAAAUCAAUUAUUUCUGUUACAACUCCAUACAUUCAAGGACUUGGUGGGUAUUGAGCAGUUAAAACUCACAUUCAAAAGAUCAUGGCCUAGUAUUGUUUUUUUUAUUUCUUGGUUCUGACACCACCACCCCGCCUCUAUUCUAUAGCCUGACAUAUUUUUGUAUUUGGAUGUAUUGAUUCUAGUUCUUUGGAAAUACUACCAGCAAUGUGACAUACUGCCAGCACAUUGCUAGCAAGUGAAAGAAAAAUUAUUGAAUGGUGUUCAACUUUUCAGGUUUGUGAACGCACCCCCACCCCCCAACCCAAAUCAAAAGUUAAAAAAAAAUUGUUGAUAGCAAACAAGAGAUUAACAAGUGGUCUGGUUGACUUAGGAGA